Molecule: transfer RNA, 17 nt
Filed under: Solanum carolinense (ball nightshade)
Lineage: Eukaryota; Viridiplantae; Streptophyta; Magnoliopsida; Solanales; Solanaceae
Also listed under: 2 other names
Description: partial tRNA-Phe
Source: RNAcentral
GCCGGGAUAGCUCAGUG